Molecule: long non-coding RNA, 754 nt
Organism: Gadus chalcogrammus (walleye pollock)
Lineage: Eukaryota; Metazoa; Chordata; Actinopteri; Gadiformes; Gadidae
Exons: 4
Source: RefSeq, a predicted model, not a curated record
CGUCUGUCCGGCCAAUGGGGGGACACUCCUGGGCUCACAUGACGCGCCUCUGCGCCUCCACUCUCCUCACACCAUUCAACCACGGAGAGAAGAGGCAUCACUGAAGGACUGGAGACCGGCGAAAUCGGACGUCAACCGCCACGCAACCGCACAGAGGCUUAUUUAUCACGCAUCAAACUUUACUCGAAGUGUACGGUCGCUGCGUCGACGAAAUGACGUCCCGCGUCUCGAAACCCCGGACUUUUUCCCGCUCCUCAUGCGCGGCGAGACGCCGCGCAGCGAGAUAACGCCCCGAAGUUAUCGCAAUGACUAUUUUGCAAACCCUGGUUUGAGGCUGACUACAAACACGACAUCACCUCCCGCCGUCAUCCACCAACGCCACCCCCUCCACCGCCACCCAACAAUCGCACCCAUUCCCUGGAGAGGAACCCCAUGCAGAAUGCACGCAAAAGAAAUGAAUCGAAGGUCCAGACAUGAAAGAGUCGAGAGACACAGGCACACACACACGCAAACACGGGGUGCUGCGUCUGUCUGCGGUCUUCAACCAGCCUGCCAAAAGAUACACACACACACGCACACACAUUACGGUGCAGCGUGGUGAACACCAGGUGCAAGAGGAAGGGACAUUCUUCUGCUUGCUCCAACACAUCUGAUGCUACCUGAUGUUUUAUGGUAUAGGUGGUAACCUGUUCUGUAUAUGUUUGAAUAAUGCUGUAGAAAUACAGGAAUAAAAAAAGAUAGUGCUGUAUCAGGG